GUUGCAGGGUAUAGACCCGAAACCCGGUGAUCUAGCCAUGGGCAGGUUGAAGGUUGGGUAACACUAACUGGAGGACCGAACCGACUAAUGUUGAAAAAUUAGCGGAUGACCUGUGGCUGGGGGUGAAAGGCCAAUCAAACCGGGAGAUAGCUGGUUCUCCCCGAAAGCUAUUUAGGUAGCGCCUCGUGAAUUCAUCUCCGGGGGUAGAGCACUGUUUCGGCUAGGGGGCCAUCCCGGCUUACCAACCCGAUGCAAACUGCGAAUACCGGAGAAUGUUAUCACGGGAGACACACGGCGGGUGCUAACGUCCGUCGUGAAGAGGGAAACAACCCAGACCGCCAGCUAAGGUCCCAAAGUCAUGGUUAAGUGGGAAACGAUGUGGGAAGGCCCAGACAGCCAGGAUGUUGGCUUAGAAGCAGCCAUCAUUUAAAGAAAGCGUAAUAGCUCACUGGUCGAGUCGGCCUGCGCGGAAGAUGUAACGGGGCUAAACCAUGCACCGAAGCUGCGGCAGCGACACUCAGGUGUUGUUGGGUAGGGGAGCGUUCUGUAAGCCUGCGAAGGUGUGUCGUGAGGC
This 574-nucleotide ribosomal RNA is filed under the name Salmonella enterica subsp. enterica serovar Miami. Its description in RNAcentral is "partial 23S ribosomal RNA". It matches the Rfam family "Bacterial large subunit ribosomal RNA", at positions 699 to 1269 of the family's 2925-position model. Lineage: Bacteria; Pseudomonadati; Pseudomonadota; Gammaproteobacteria; Enterobacterales; Enterobacteriaceae. The record is from RNAcentral.